Molecule: ribosomal RNA, 793 nt
Filed under: Ralstonia solanacearum
Lineage: Bacteria; Pseudomonadati; Pseudomonadota; Betaproteobacteria; Burkholderiales; Burkholderiaceae
Description: bacterial SSU rRNA
Rfam family: Bacterial small subunit ribosomal RNA
Source: RNAcentral
GUGGGGGAUAACUAGUCGAAAGACUAGCUAAUACCGCAUACGACCUGAGGGUGAAAGUGGGGGACCGCAAGGCCUCAUGCUAUAGGAGCGGCCGAUGUCUGAUUAGCUAGUUGGUGGGGUAAAGGCCCACCAAGGCGACGAUCAGUAGCUGGUCUGAGAGGACGAUCAGCCACACUGGGACUGAGACACGGCCCAGACUCCUACGGGAGGCAGCAGUGGGGAAUUUUGGACAAUGGGGGCAACCCUGAUCCAGCAAUGCCGCGUGUGUGAAGAAGGCCUUCGGGUUGUAAAGCACUUUUGUCCGGAAAGAAAUCGCACUGGUUAAUACCUGGUGUGGAUGACGGUACCGGAAGAAUAAGGACCGGCUAACUACGUGCCAGCAGCCGCGGUAAUACGUAGGGUCCAAGCGUUAAUCGGAAUUACUGGGCGUAAAGCGUGCGCAGGCGGUUGUGCAAGACCGAUGUGAAAUCCCCGGGCUUAACCUGGGAAUUGCAUUGGUGACUGCACGGCUAGAGUGUGUCAGAGGGAGGUAGAAUUCCACGUGUAGCAGUGAAAUGCGUAGAGAUGUGGAGGAAUACCGAUGGCGAAGGCAGCCUCCUGGGAUAACACUGACGCUCAUGCACGAAAGCGUGGGGGAGCAAACAGGAUUAGAUACCCUGGUAGUCCACGCCCUAAACGAUGUCAACUAGUUUGUUGGGGAUUCAUUUCCUUAGUAACGUAGCUAACGCGUGAAGUUGACCGCCUGGGGAGUACGGUCGCAAGAUUAAAACUCAAAGGAAUUGACGGGGACCCG